This 259-nucleotide ribosomal RNA is filed under the name uncultured bacterium. Its description in RNAcentral is "partial 16S ribosomal RNA". It matches the Rfam family "Bacterial small subunit ribosomal RNA", at positions 524 to 776 of the family's 1533-position model. The record is from RNAcentral.
UACGUAGGGGGCAAGCGUUUGUCCGGAUUUAUUGGGCGUAAAGAGCGUGUAGGCGGCCCACACAGGGUCAGCUGUGAAAACUCGAGGCUCAACCUCGAGACGUCGGUUGAAACCGUAUGGCUAGAGUCCGGAAGAGGAGAGUGGAAUUCCCGGUGGUAGCGGUGAAAUGCGCAGAUAUCGGGGAAGAACACCCGUGGCGAAGGCGGCUCUCGUGGGACGGUACUGACGCUGAGACGCGAAAGCGUGGGGAGCGAACAGG